GGAAGAAGAGCUGCUUCUUGAAGCGAUCGAGGUGGUGCAGCCGCCGCACAGGGUUUUUACACAGCAGCUGAAACAAGCAACGGACACAAGCAGCAGUUACAUCAUUUGGCCACCUAAUGGCGCUGUGUGCUAUGUGAAAAUCCCAAUCGAUGGAAAAUACAGCUUAACAGCAGACAGCAGUCUCUUUCAAACAGCCGUGUGAACAGGCAGCCUUGAAUGCAAUGGUUACCUCACUGAGCAGGAGGGAGAGCUGUGGGCUGAACGUGCUCGGCAUGUCGUAUUCACUUCUCCUGACCAUCCUCAGCAUGGACGAGUGAUCCGGCUCCGCGGAGACAGGGAACUGGGUGAAGACACAGGGAAAGAGACACUAAGACAAGGGCAUUGUUAGGAGACCACAGAGUCCCAGAGUUUUCCAGGGUAAACUUUGCGUUUCUAUUUGCCUCUGCAGUUCUGUUAAGAGAUGCAAGUUGAGACUUGUCCUGAAUUGUUCCUCUGCUUAAUUGCAUUUACUAAAAACAGUACAAACACCAGCUUGUCAAAGCUUGCUUUGUAAGCCUUUAUGGACGAGUGACAAAUAAACAGGCAUGCUGUUCACUGAAAGAAAAACACUGGCUCUAAAUACCUUGAUGUCACAUUCCAGCACUUAAUGGCAGCUCUACACAUUUGCCAUGGUAUUGUAAAAGGACAGAAAUUGCAGUAAAGUACAGGAAAGCACUGUCAAGUACAGAGUGGUAAAGCAUAUUAAAAACUACAGCAGACCAGGCUAAACUAUUGCAAACGCACACUCUCCACUGCAGCUUCUAUGGCCCGGGCUGACAAAAAAAAAAGAA
Acipenser ruthenus (sterlet) is the source of this 830-nucleotide long non-coding RNA. RefSeq lists it as uncharacterized. NCBI's taxonomy places the organism in Eukaryota, Metazoa, Chordata, Actinopteri, Acipenseriformes, Acipenseridae. The transcript has 2 exons. The record is from RefSeq and is a predicted model, not a curated record.